Long non-coding RNA from Theobroma cacao (cacao), 1245 nucleotides. RefSeq lists it as uncharacterized. NCBI's taxonomy places the organism in Eukaryota, Viridiplantae, Streptophyta, Magnoliopsida, Malvales, Malvaceae. The record is from RefSeq and is a predicted model, not a curated record.
CAGACAACACAAGGUUGUCUCCCUUCCCCCCCACCCCAACCCCAAGCUUUAACAAAAUGGUGUGGCUUUCUUAAAUCACUUUGGGCAAUUCACCGAGCCUUAGUAACCUUAAUCAUUCUUUUACUUUAUCAUUCAUGCGGCUAUUUGUUUGUUUCUUGACUCUUCUUAAUGCCAAGCUUUACUCCUCCAAGGAUUUAGCACCUCCACGGGUUCUUGAUAAUUUUCCUUCUUCAAGCUGUUUCCUUGUUACACCAAGCUUAUUCUUGAAGCCUUUUCAAAAAAUAAAUAAAUAAAUAAAAUAUUCCUGGCAGAAUAAUUUCAAUCUUCUCCCUGGCCUUCAAGUAUUUGGAUCUUCAAUUUAAAGCUAAGAAAUCAGCAACCAAGCCAAGUUGUGAUUUCCUUGGUUGGAGAAUUUCUAGGAGUUUUGUUAAGCUAAAUUCAAGCCAAAAGGUGAGGGUUAGGAUGUUUUGAUGUUGGGCAUGAAUUGUGGUUUAAAGCUGCUAGUUAAACACAUGGGAAACUAGUUCAAAUUUUAAAUGACAAUACUGGAAAUUUGAACGUCCGAGAAAGCUUAAGAAAAUGUAUUUUGAAAGCUCAAAUAAAUUACUAAGAUAAAGCAUGAUACUGGGUUGGUGAUUUAGAGUUUUAUAUAGCAUGAUUGAAGGGUGAAAAUUUAGCAUGGUUUAAAUAUUUAUUGGGAUAAAUGUCUUGCUGGAAAUAAAGUAUGGUCUUAUGUUUCUAAGCUUAAGCUUGAGUUUAAUGCUGGGUUUGUAAAUAGUUUACUGGGCAUUGAUUUUAAAUGUAGGAAGCUAAGCUUAAGCUAAAUUCUGUAAAUUCGAAUGCUAGAAAACUGUGUUAUGUUAUUGGAAUACUAGGAAGCUUAAGCAAAUAUUGGGACUUAAAGAAUCUGUUGAAGCUCAAAGGAAAUAUUUGAAGCUUAAGGAAGCAAUUUGAAGCUCAAGAGCAGUAAGUGGUCAAAGGAUUAGUGGAUUGGUGCUGGUGGGAAAUCACACCAUCAAUAAAAGUGAAUUAAAUGGGGAGCAGCUGUGGUGAGGGGACUUCAACUUGCUGCAUAGGUAAUUGGCAUCUCAUAGCACUUUCCUUAUGCCACUUUGCCGUUUAGAGGUCAAAUUGUCUACUGUUUUUAAAUAAAAUGAUGUAUUCAUAAAACUAUUUUGGUCUGAAGCCCUUGGAUACUGUUUGAUGAAAUUUAAAUGGUGUAAUGUUCGAAGGAUUACAUUUCAA